RNAcentral lists this ribosomal RNA (820 nucleotides) under uncultured Pseudomonadota bacterium. Its description in RNAcentral is "bacterial SSU rRNA". It matches the Rfam family "Bacterial small subunit ribosomal RNA", at positions 75 to 930 of the family's 1533-position model. The record is from RNAcentral. Lineage: Bacteria; Pseudomonadati; Pseudomonadota.
CCUCUUCGGAGGUACUCGAGCGGCGGACGGCUGAGUAACACGUAGGAACGUACCCCAAAGUGAGGGAUAACUGCUCGAAAGAGUAGCUAAUACCGCAUGUGAUCUAAGGAUUAAAGCUUCGGCGCUUUGGGAACGGCCUGCGCAUGAUUAGCUAGUUGGUGAGGUAAUAGCUCACCAAGGCGAUGAUCAUUAGCUGGUCUGAGAGGAUGAUCAGCCAGACUGGGACUGAGAACGGCCCAGACUCCUACGGGAGGCAGCAGUAGGGAAUUUUCCACAAUGGACGAAAGUCUGAUGGAGCAACGCCGCGUGCAGGAUGAAUGCCUUCGGGUUGUAAACUGCUUUUAUUAGUGACGAUUAUGACGGUAACUAAUGAAUAAGGACCUGCUAACUACGUGCCAGCAGCCGCGGUCAUACGUAGGGUCCAAGCGUUAUCCGGAAUUACUGGGCGUAAAGAGUUGCGUAGGUGGCAGAGUAAGUAGAUAGUGAAAGCGUGUGGCUCAACCAUACAUCCAUUAUCUAAACUGCUCAGCUAGAGGAUGAGAGAGGUAGAUGGAAUUUCUGAUGUAGGGGUAAUAUCCGUAGAUAUCAGAAGGAACACCGAUGGCGUAAGCAGUCUACUGGCUCAUUCCUGACACUAAGGCACGAAAGCGUGGGGAGCAAACAGGAUUAGAUACCCUGGUAGUCCACGCCGUAAACUAUGGAUGCUAGCUGUAAGAGGUAUCGACCCCUCUUGUAGCGAAGCUAACGCGUUAAGCAUCCCGCCUGUGGAGUACGAGCGCAAGCUUAAAACAUAAAGGAAUUGACGGGGACCCGCACAAGC